RNAcentral lists this unclassified non-coding RNA (25 nucleotides) under Mus musculus (house mouse). Its description in RNAcentral is "oocyte_clustered_small_RNA11801". Lineage: Eukaryota; Metazoa; Chordata; Mammalia; Rodentia; Muridae. The record is from RNAcentral.
UGAGGAAACCAGCCCUGUCCCUCAG